UACGUAGGGUCCGAGCGUUGUCCGGAAUUACUGGGCGUAAAGAGCUCGUAGGUGGUUUGUCGCGUCGGCUGUGAAAUCCCGAGGCUCAACCUCGGGUCUGCAGUCGAUACGAGCAAACUAGAGUGUUGCAGGGGAGACUGGAAUUCCUGGUGUAGCGGUGAAAUGCGCAGAUAUCAGGAGGAACACCGGUGGCGAAGGCGGGUCUCUGGGCAACAACUGACGCUGAGGAGCGAAAGCGUGGGGAGCGAACAGG
Molecule: ribosomal RNA, 253 nt
Filed under: uncultured bacterium
Lineage: Bacteria
Description: partial 16S ribosomal RNA
Rfam family: Bacterial small subunit ribosomal RNA
Source: RNAcentral